Molecule: ribosomal RNA, 505 nt
Filed under: uncultured bacterium
Lineage: Bacteria
Description: bacterial SSU rRNA
Rfam family: Bacterial small subunit ribosomal RNA
Source: RNAcentral
GAUCAUGGCUCAGGAUGAACGCUAGCUACAGGCUUAACACAUGCAAGUCGAGGGGAAACGAUAGAGAAAGCUUGCUUUUUCUAGGCGUCGACCGGCGCACGGGUGAGUAACGCGUAUCCAACCUGCCCAUCACUUGGGGAUAACCUUGCGAAAGUAAGACUAAUACCCAAUGACGUCUCUAGAAGACAUCUGAAGGAGAUUAAAGAUUUAUCGGUGAUGGAUGGGGAUGCGUCUGAUUAGCUUGUUGGCGGGGUAACGGCCCACCAAGGCGACGAUCAGUAGGGGUUCUGAGAGGAAGGUCCCCCACAUUGGAACUGAGACACGGUCCAAACUCCUACGGGAGGCAGCAGUGAGGAAUAUUGGUCAAUGGGCGCGAGCCUGAACCAGCCAAGUAGCGUGGAGGACGACGGCCCUACGGGUUGUAAACUCCUUUUAUAAGGGGAUAAAGUUGGCCAUGUAUGGCCAUUUGCAGGUACCUUAUGAAUAAGCAUCGGCUAAUUCCGUG